This 253-nucleotide ribosomal RNA is filed under the name uncultured bacterium. RNAcentral describes it as "partial 16S ribosomal RNA". It matches the Rfam family "Bacterial small subunit ribosomal RNA", at positions 524 to 776 of the family's 1533-position model. The record is from RNAcentral.
UACGGAGGGGGCAAGCGUUGUUCGGAAUCACUGGGUGUAAAGGGUGCGUAGGCGGUCCGUUAAGUCUGAUGUGAAAGCCCUGGGCUCAACUCAGGAAUUGCAUUGGAAACUGGCGGGCUGGAGUACGGGAGAGGGAAGCGGAAUUCCUGGUGUAGCGGUGAAAUGCGUAGAUACCAGGAGGAACACCGGUGGCGAAGGCGGGUCUCUGGGCCGUAACUGACGCUGAGGAGCGAAAGCGUGGGGAGCGAACAGG